CGUCACUUCAUUAUUGGCUGCACCUGCGCAAUCAUGUGACGCGAUACAUUUUUUCAAAGACGUUUUUCAAGACACAGGAGAGGUCGGGUUGAAACAUUACUGAUGUUUCACGUUAAAAAUGGCUCUAAAGAUUGAUGCUAAACAACGUUUGACAUGUUUGAACAAUGUAAAUAGAUUAUUUUUUUUACUUUUCGCCGUGACUCCCCCCCGCUACUUUUUAGUAGCCUACCGAAGCGCUAACAACAUGGAACAACUUGGAGUUAUUUGGACAUCAAUUAUGAACUUUGUUGAAAGAAACCACAUUUGCAGUGGACCUGGGAUGCGUGGAAUUGCCAAUGGAUGAAGAGAAUCAAAGAUGUGCCAAAUUGUACUGCUUACCCUGACGAUGUGGUGGUUCAUUCGUCUACUUGGUCUGAUCAUCUCUCCACUUUGAAAAGUGUGUUUCAGCGUUUGGAGAAUGCUUCUUUAACCCUCAAUUUUGCCAAGUGUGAGUUUGGGAAGGCUAGUGACUUACUUAGGAAAACAAGUGGGACGAGGUCAAGUGCGCCCAGUAACUGGUAAAGUGGAAGCAAUUGUUGCUUUUCCUGCUCCCACGACUCGCCUCCAGUUGCGCAGAUUCCUGGGGAUGGUAGGGUACUAUCGUACAUUCUGUAAGAAUUUCUUGAUGGUAGUAGCUCCCCUUACAUCUCUGCUUAGUCCCAAGGUACCACUUAAGUGGUCCCAGGACUGUAACUAUGCUUUUGAGUCCGCUAAAGUGCUACUUUGUAGUGCCCCAGUGCUUGCCGCCCCCAACUUUGACAAACCUUUUAAGUUGGAGGUAGACGCUAGUAUAGUGGGGGUGGGUGCGGUUCUCUUGCAGGAAGAUGAAGAUGGAGUGGAUCGGCCUGUCAGUUUCUUCUCCCGUAAGUUGAAGGUACUCCACUAUUGAACAAGAGACGCUGGCUUUAUUGCUAGCCUUACAGUUCUUUGAAGUAUAUGUGGGCUCCAGUGCCUUGCCUAUACUGGUCUUCACGGACCAUAAUCCUUUGGUGUUUUUGAAGCAAAUGUACAAUCAGAACCACCGCCUAAUGCGGUGGGCUCUGAUUGUACAAGGAUACAAUGUACAGAUAGCCUAUGUAAAGGAUUCGGCGGAUGUGGUUGCCAACGCACUAUCAAGGGUUUAGUAACUGUGGAUACGUUAGGUUUUGUUACCACAAACUGUAGGUUUUGUGGUGGGUGUGUUACGUUCCCCAGUUUCUGUGUUGUGGUUUUGUAUGUAUGUGUGUGUUUCAGGAUGGCUUCCUGAAAUUCCCCCAAGCAGCUGAUUGGUCGGCCCCCAUUGCUAAUUGGAGAGCUGACCACGCCCCCUCGUCAGGACACAGCUGUAUCCCAUUACAGACUCCUUCUCCAGCUAUAUAAGCCAGUGUUCUGUUGCUCAGAAGAGAGCUGAGGGUUAUAUCCUGGGUUGGUUGUUUCUCAGAUAGAGAUGAGUGUGUCCUGCGCUGGUUAUUGCUGAGAGACAGGUUUUUGUUAAGUACUUUGUAGCCGCUGCUUCUAAGGUAUGUGUGUCCCCAUAGGAGGCAGUGUUUUUGAUUAUUGAAAUAGUUUGUAUUAUUCUGUUUCAUUUGUUCCCAGGGGGGAAGGGGAAGGCACCUGGGGAGUGCUUAGGCAAGAGGCCCGCGGGCAUACAUAACCCAUAGUAUUCACUGUCUAUGCCUACUAGGUCAGACCUGGGCGGACCACCCCCUGUAUUUUGGUUAGUGCACCAGGUGGUGCUAGUUAGGUAAGUAGUGGGUAGGCAGGUAAGGUAGGAGAGGGGGCUUUGACAUUUACUUUCUUUGCUUUGGUUCCGUCCAGCCCCUUUUCCCCAAAUUUACCGUGUGAAGGAAUAAAU
RNAcentral lists this long non-coding RNA (1873 nucleotides) under Salmo salar (Atlantic salmon). RNAcentral describes it as "lncRNA (ENSSSAG00000085090.1)". The record is from RNAcentral. Lineage: Eukaryota; Metazoa; Chordata; Actinopteri; Salmoniformes; Salmonidae.